RNAcentral lists this ribosomal RNA (247 nucleotides) under uncultured bacterium. RNAcentral describes it as "partial small subunit ribosomal RNA". It matches the Rfam family "Bacterial small subunit ribosomal RNA", at positions 26 to 285 of the family's 1533-position model. The record is from RNAcentral.
AGGACGAACGCUGGCGGCGUGCUUAACACAUGCAAGUCGAACGAGGCGCUUGCGCCUAGUGGCGAACGGGUGAGUAACACGUGAGCAACCUGCCCUUGGCUCUGGGAUAGCCUCCGGAAACGGGGAUUAAUACCGGACAUGACCCGUGAUUGCAUGAUCACGGGUGGAAAGUUUUUCGGCCAGGGAUGGGCUCGCGGCCUAUCAGCUUGGUUGGGGGGGUAACGGCCCACCAAGGCGACGACGGGUA